This 353-nucleotide ribosomal RNA is filed under the name uncultured bacterium. RNAcentral describes it as "partial 16S ribosomal RNA". It matches the Rfam family "Bacterial small subunit ribosomal RNA", at positions 338 to 708 of the family's 1533-position model. The record is from RNAcentral.
CCUACGGGUGGCAGCAGUAGGGAAUAUUGCGCAAUGGGCGAAACCCUGAAGCAGCAACGCCGCGUGGAGGAGGAAGGUUUUGGGAUGUUAAACUCUGUUUGUGAGAGAAAAAAUUGACGGUAUCCAACGAAGAAGCACCGGCUAACUCCGUGCCAGCAGCCGCGGUAAUACGGGGGGUGCAAGCGUUACCCGGAAUCAUUGGGCGUAAAGAGCGCGUAGGCGGGAUGGAAAGUCAGGUGUGAAAUGCAAAGGCUCAACUACUGUACGGCACUUGAUACUGUCAAUCUAGAGUAUGGUAGAGGUAAGUGGAAUUCUUGGUGUAGCGGUGAAAUGCUUAGAUAUCAGGAGGAACA